UACGUAGGGUGCAAGCGUUAAUCGGAAUUACUGGGCGUAAAGCGUGCGCAGGCGGUGAUGUAAGACAGAUGUGAAAUCCCCGGGCUCAACCUGGGAACUGCAUUUGUGACUGCAUCGCUGGAGUACGGCAGAGGGGAUGGAAUUCCGCGUGUAGCAGUGAAAUGCGUAGAUAUGCGGAGGAACACCGAUGGCGAAGGCAAUCCCCUGGGCCUGUACUGACGCUCAUGCACGAAAGCGUGGGAGCAACAGG
This 250-nucleotide ribosomal RNA is filed under the name uncultured bacterium. RNAcentral's name for it is "partial 16S ribosomal RNA". It matches the Rfam family "Bacterial small subunit ribosomal RNA", at positions 524 to 776 of the family's 1533-position model. The record is from RNAcentral.